GACGAACGCUGGCGGCGUGCCUAAUACAUGCAAGUCGAACGCAGUGGGGACGGGUGAGUAACACGUGGGUAACCUCCCAUCAGAGGGGAUAACACUUGGAAACAGGUGCUAAACCGAUACUGAUGGAUGGACCCGCGGUGGAUUAGCUAGUUGGUGAGGUAACGGCUCACCAAGGCCACGAUGCAUAGCCGGCCUGAGAGGGUGGUCGGCCAAACUGGGACGGAGACACGGGCCAGACUCCUACGGGAGGCAGCAGUGGGGAAUAUUGGACAAUGGACGAAAGUCUGACCGAGCAACGCCGCGUGAGUGAAGAAGGUUUUCGGAUCGUAAAGCUCUGUUGUUAGGGAGGCGUUAUCUAACCAGAAAGCCACGGCUAACUACGUGCCAGCAGCCGCGGUAAUAC
This 403-nucleotide ribosomal RNA is filed under the name uncultured bacterium. RNAcentral describes it as "partial 16S ribosomal RNA". It matches the Rfam family "Bacterial small subunit ribosomal RNA", at positions 28 to 526 of the family's 1533-position model. The record is from RNAcentral.